GUGUUCUCAGGUCACCCCUG
This 20-nucleotide small nuclear RNA is filed under the name Arabidopsis thaliana (thale cress). RNAcentral's name for it is "snRNA_04727". Lineage: Eukaryota; Viridiplantae; Streptophyta; Magnoliopsida; Brassicales; Brassicaceae. The record is from RNAcentral.